RNAcentral lists this ribosomal RNA (2983 nucleotides) under Dehalococcoidia bacterium. RNAcentral describes it as "23S ribosomal RNA". It matches the Rfam family "Bacterial large subunit ribosomal RNA". The record is from RNAcentral. Lineage: Bacteria; Bacillati; Chloroflexota; Dehalococcoidia.
UAAGUCAAGGGAAAAAGGGCGUAGGGUGGAUGCCUUGGCAUCAGUGGCCGAAGAAGGGCGUGGCAAGACUGCGAAAAGCCUCAGGGAGCUGUCUAGCUAGCUUAGCUGGGGAUUCCCGAAUGGAGCAAUCCGCUUGGGUGAAACCCAAGCACUCGCUUUAAGCGAGGGGGAACCGGGUGAACUGAAACAUCUAAGUAACCCGAGGAAGAGAAAUCAAAAGAGAUUCCCUAAGUAGUGGCGAACGAAAGGGGAAGAGCCCAAACCAAGGUAGCUAAGUGGACUUGGAUCCUAAGCUAUCUUGGGGUUGUAAGGCACGAGGAGCAGAUUCCGAGGUCUGCUACAGAGUUACAAAACUUCAUCUUAGCCAAAUGCUUCUGGAAAGGGCAACUAUAGAAGGUGAGAGUCCGGUAGGCGAAAAGAGUGAAGUCUCUGCUUGUGUUCUUGAGUACCACGGGACACGUGGAAUCCUGUGGGAAGCUGGGGGGACCACCCUCCAAGGCUAAAUACUGCUGAUGACCGAUAGUGAACCAGUACCGUGAGGGAAAGGUGAAAAGCACCCCGGGAGGGGAGUGAAAUAGAAUCUGAAACCCUAUGCCUACAAGCAGUCAGAGGUUCGUUUCGGCGGACUAAUGGCGUGCCUAUUGGAGAAUGAACCGACGAGUUGAUUUAUGUGGCUAGGUUAAGCAACUUAGUUGCGGAGCCGAAGCGAAAGCAAGUCCGAAUAGGGCGCUGCUCAGCUUAGCUGAGCGGGUCGCAUGGAUCAGACCCGAAACCGAGUGAUCUACCCAUGGCCAGAGUGAAGCUCAAGUAAAAUUGAGUGGAGGCUCGAACUUGUGAGUGAAGCAAAACUCUAGGAUGAGCUGUGGGUAGUGCAGGUGAAAUGCCAAUCGAACUCGGAGAUAGCUGGUUCUCCCCGAAAUGCAUUUAGGUGCAGCCUCAGGAAGUAAUUUAUGGAGGUAGAGCUCUGGAUGGGCUUGGGACCGUGAGGUUUCCGUGUUCAACCAAACUGCAAAUGCCAUAAAUGUAAUCCUGGGAGUGAGACUGUGGAGGAUAAGCUCCAUAGUCGAGAGGGAAACAGCCCAGACCAUCAGCUAAGGUCCCUAAAUACAGGCUAAGUGGGAAAGGAAGUGGUGUUGCUAAAACAGCCAGGAGGUUAGCUUAGAAGCAGCCAUCCUUUAAAGAGUGCGUAAUAGCUCACUGGUCGAGUGAUACUGCACCGACAAUUUAACGGGGCUUAAGUCUGUUACCGAAGCUAUGGCAUUGCCUUUAAGGCAAUGGGUAGGGGAGCGUUGUCAAAGCUGAGAAGCCGUGGCGUGAGCCAUAGUGGAGCUAUGACAAGUGAGAAUGUCGGUAUGAGUAGCGUAAAGGCAUGUGAAAACCAUGCCCACCGUAAACCUAAGGUUUCCUAUGCAACGUCAAUCGGCAUAGGGUUAGUCAGGCCUAAGCCAAACCCUAAUGGGGUAGGCGAUGGAUAGUAGGUUAAUAUUCCUACACCGCUUAGCCUUUAUUUUAAGGCAAAGGGGGGACACAGGAAGGUAGGUUGAGCAUGCCUAAUGGACAUGGUGUGUUCCCAACUCAAGGUGCAUCGGGGCAGGCAAAUCCACCCUGAUAUUAAGCUAAGGGGAGGGAGAAUUUGAGGGGCAACCCGAGAUAACUCAACUGAGCCUACACUGUCAAGAAAAGCCUCGUUGCUAAAAUGCUAAGCGCCUGUACCGCAAACCGCCACUGGUAGGUGGGGAUAAGAGUCCCAAGGUGUUCGAGAGAACCCUCGUUAAGGAACUCGGCAAUUUUACCCCGUAACUUUGGGAGAAGGGGGCCCGUCUGAGAAGGCGGGGACACAAAAUUGGCCCAGGCGACUGUUUAACAAAAACAUAGGUCUCUGCUAAAGCGAAAAAGCUGAAAUAUAGGGGCUGAUACCUGCCCGGUGCCAGAAGGUUAAGGGGAGAGGUUAGGAUGGUGACAUUCAAAGCCUUGAACUGAAGCCCUGGUGAACGGCGGCCGUAACUAUAACGGUCCUAAGGUAGCGAAAUCCCUUGUCGGGUAAGUUCCGACCCGCACGAAUGGUGUAACGAUCUGGGCGCUGUCUCAACGAGGGACUCGGUGAAAUUGAAGUGGGGGUGCAGAUGCCCUCUACCCGCGACAGGACAAAAAGACCCUGGCAGCUUUACUAUAGCUUGGCACUGAGCUUAGGCUGAGCAUGUGUAGGAUAGGUGGGAGGCUAAGAAGCUGGGGCGUCAGCCUCGGUGGAGCCAACGGUGAAAUACCACUCUUGUUCAGUUUUGGUUCUAACCCGUUGCAAGACGGGGACAAUGUCUGGUGGGUAGUUUGACUGGGGCGGUUGCCUCCUAAAAGGUAACGGAGGCGUCCAAAGGUUCCCUCAGCACGGAUGGAAAUCGUGUGUUGAGUGCAUUGGCAUAAGGGAGCUUAACUGUGAGACCUACAAGUCGAGCAGAGACGAAAGUCGGGCAAAGUGAUCCCACGGCCCCGUGUGGAAGGGCCGUGGCUUAUCGGAUAAAAGCUACGCCAGGGAUAACAGGCUUAUCUUGCCCAAGAGUUCAUAUCGACGGCAAGGUUUGGCACCUCGAUGUCGGCUCAUCGCAUCCUGGGGCUGGAGAAGGUCCCAAGGGUUGGGCUGUUCGCCCAUUAAAGCGGUACGCGAGCUGGGUUCAAACCGUCGUGAGACAGGUUGGUCUCUAUCCGUCGUGGGCGCUGGAGAUUUGAGGGGAGCUCUCCUCAGUACGAGAGGAUCAGGAGGGACAGACCUCUGGUGUGCCAGUUGUUGCGCCAGCAGCAGUGCUGGGUAGCCAAGUCUGGAGGGGAUAAGCGCUGAAAGCAUCUAAGUGCGAAGCCCACCCCAAGAUAAGAUCUCCCACCGGGUUAACCGGGUAAGGCCGCAAGUAGACUACUUGCUUGAUAGGCGGCGUGUGUAAGCGGAGUAAUCCGUUUAGCUAAGCCGUACUAAUGGCCGAGGCCUUGACCUACA